GGCCUAUCAGCUUGUUGGUGAGGUAACGGCUCACCAAGGCUAUGACAAGUAUCGGGUGUGAGAGCAUGGCCCGACUCACUGGGACUGAGACACUGCCCAGACUCCUACGGGAGGCUGCAGUCACGAAUCUUCCUCAAUGGACGAAAGUCUGAAGGAGCGACGCCGUGUGCAUGAUGAAGCCCUUUGGGGUGUAAAGUGCUUUUUUCUGGGAAGAAUUUUGACGGUACCAGAAGAAUAAGGGGCUGCUAAACUCGUGCCAGCAGCAGCGGUAAUACGAGUGCCCCGAGUGUUAUCCGGAUUUAUUGGGCGUAAAGCGUCCGCAGGUUGUUUGAUGCAUCUUUUGUUAAAUCUCAAGGCUCAACCUUGAGGCUGCGAGAGAUAUGGUCAGACUAGAGGCUGGAAGAGGCAAACGGAAUUGCUGGUGUAGGGGUUAAAUCCGUUAAUAUCAGCAGGAACACCAAAAGCGAAGGCAGUUUGCUGGGACAGUCCUGACACUCAUGGACGAAAGCGCGGGGAGCGAACGGGAUUAGAUACCCCGGUAGUCCGCGCCGUAAACGAUGGAUGCUAAGCAUUGGGAGUAUCGACCCUUUCAGUGCUGUUUAUUUAAGCUAACGCCUUAAGCAUCCCGCCUGGGGAGUACGG
This 642-nucleotide ribosomal RNA is filed under the name uncultured bacterium. RNAcentral's name for it is "partial 16S ribosomal RNA". It matches the Rfam family "Bacterial small subunit ribosomal RNA", at positions 235 to 885 of the family's 1533-position model. The record is from RNAcentral.